This 253-nucleotide ribosomal RNA is filed under the name uncultured bacterium. Its description in RNAcentral is "partial 16S ribosomal RNA". It matches the Rfam family "Bacterial small subunit ribosomal RNA", at positions 524 to 776 of the family's 1533-position model. The record is from RNAcentral.
UACGUAGGGGGCGAGCGUUGUUCGGAAUUACUGGGCGUAAAGGGCGCGCAGGCGGCUCUGAAAGUCAGAUGUGAAAGCCCCGGGCUUAACCUGGGAACUGCAUUUGAUACUCUAGAGCUUGAGUACGGGAGAGGAGAGUGGAAUUCCCAGUGUAGAGGUGAAAUUCGUAGAUAUUGGGAAGAACACCGGUGGCGAAGGCGGCUCUCUGGACCGUAACUGACGCUGAGGCGCGAAAGCGUGGGGAGCAAACAGG